CCUACGGGGGGCUGCAGUGGGGAAUAUUGGACAAUGGGCGAAAGCCUGAUCCAGCCAUGCCGCGUGUGUGAAGAAGGCCUUCGGGUUGUAAAGCACUUUCAGUGGGGAAGAAAGCCUUGGGGCUAAUACCCUCGAGGAAGGACAUCACCCACAGAAGAAGCACCGGCUAACUCCGUGCCAGCAGCCGCGGUAAUACGGAGGGUGCGAGCGUUAAUCGGAAUUACUGGGCGUAAAGCGCGCGUAGGCGGUCUGAUAAGCCGGUUGUGAAAGCCCCGGGCUCAACCUGGGAACGGCAUCUGGAACUGUCAGGCUAGAGUGCAGGAGAGGAAGGUAGAAUGCACGGUGUAGCGGUGAAAUGCGAAGAGAUCGGGAGGAAUACCAGUGGCGAAGGCGGCCUUCUGGACUGACACUGACGCUGAGGUGCGAAAGCGUGGGUAGCAAACAGGAUUAGAUACCCGUGUAGUC
Molecule: ribosomal RNA, 465 nt
Filed under: Vreelandella stevensii
Lineage: Bacteria; Pseudomonadati; Pseudomonadota; Gammaproteobacteria; Oceanospirillales; Halomonadaceae
Description: partial 16S ribosomal RNA
Rfam family: Bacterial small subunit ribosomal RNA
Source: RNAcentral